Molecule: long non-coding RNA, 1517 nt
Organism: Hemicordylus capensis (graceful crag lizard)
Lineage: Eukaryota; Metazoa; Chordata; Lepidosauria; Squamata; Cordylidae
Exons: 4
Source: RefSeq, a predicted model, not a curated record
CAAGCAGAAGCACCUGAUUGGGCAGUGUGGAUUCCAUAUGCAGACAGGGAGAAGGAGCCUGUGAGAGCAGAAGCACCAUGGUGAUUGGGCAGUGGGGAUUCCCUAUGCAGAUAAGGAGGAGGCGCCUGUGAUGGUUAAGACCACAACUUUUGAUGUAGGCAUAUUGCUAAGAAACUGCUUCAAAAUGAGGAGCAGAAGGGAGAGAAAUUGCACUUCUCCCUUGCUUUGUAUCUACGUACAAAAGUUACCGAGUACAGAUUUUAAAAAGCAGCACCUGGUUUAAAUCUGACUCAUCUCAAUAUUCCCAUGUGAUUCAGUGGGUGGAGGAUAUCAAAGUAUCUCGCAGAAGAAUUCCAGUAAACAAAGCUCCUUCCUCUUUAACCUCUUGCCAAAAGCUGGGGGCAGGGGAAGAGAGAAGAGGAGAAGCACCAUACUGAAAAAUGAAUGAAAGUUUCUGUUUCUUGUACAUCUGGGGCCCAUUAGUGAGAAGACUGUAACUGAAAGCACUUUGACUAGGCAACUUCAGCCUUCCUCUGGUAAAGAUCUGAAAGACGGUCUUCGUGGUUGACGAAAACCCAGUCAUGAAAAGCUGCCUUCCACCAGCUGUUGCCCCAGCAGCUAUCACACGAGGUACACUCCUAGGUGAAAACUCCCCCCGGAGGGCUGGAAGGGCUGCUGCUUCAGAAGUCAAAGAUUGUGGCAUGUUAGAACGCACCAAAAAAAAUGCUCUGUCUAUGCAUUAUUUAUUGCUUUCCUGUAUUUAUAUAAUAUUCAGCUUCCUGAAAGUAAUUUGUUUUGGAUUGUGUAAUGCUGGGCAGAACAUCAAAGGUAUGUUAAUCAGUGGCAAUAAAAUGCUAAAGUUUAUGGUCACUGAGGUAUUAAAUAUUGCUAAUAAAUUACAGGGUUAGCAUUUUAAAUGAGCUACUGCUGGAGAAGAGCAUCAACACCAAGGCCUAAAAAACACUAAUUGCCAUGGCUUGACUGAAUGGUUAUCCAGGAGUCCCAAAAACAGUGUUUUUAGAAAGUACACAUUUUGAAGGUAGAGUGUCUGUACAAUAUAAAAAUAUAAGGGUUCAUUUGACACAUUAAGCAAUAUUUCACAUUUUUACCCCAAGGCACACCUUCAAAGCCUUCUAUAGAUAACUUAGAUUUUUAAGUGAAACAGUCAAUGUGUUAAAUGUUUAGCACCACACAGUAAGGACAGGAACAGGAAAGGGCCCAAAGUGUAUAUGGACCCUUCGGUUGUAUCUGUGUAUUAGGAACAAUGCCCAUUCUCUCACUACACAUAUUGUGCAAAAAAAGCUGCAAUUGUGUAAGGCUGAGGCUGGAACUAGACACUGUGGUGGUUAUGUGGCUACCAUUAAAAGAACAGCAGUUUCACCUCUCAUUCUCCUCUUCUCCCAGCAAUGUCUAGUAUUACAAUAUGUGGGACAUCACGUAGCCCCAUUCACACAUUCUGUUCAACACUAGUACAAUCUGUAUACAGUUUAUACAGGUACAGAUCUGUACUCUAGUAU